Molecule: ribosomal RNA, 497 nt
Filed under: uncultured bacterium
Lineage: Bacteria
Description: partial 16S ribosomal RNA
Rfam family: Bacterial small subunit ribosomal RNA
Source: RNAcentral
GAUGAACGCUGGCGGCGUGCCUAAUACAUGCAAGUCGAGCGAACAGAUAAGGAGCUUGCUCCUUUGACGUUAGCGGCGGACGGGUGAGUAACACGUGGAUACCCUACCUAUAAGACUGGGAUCACUUCGGGACACCGGAGCUAAUACCGGAUAACAUAUUGAACCGCAUGGUUCAAUAGUGAAAGGCGGCUUUGCUGUCACUUAUAGAUGGAUCCGCGCCGUAUUAGCUAGUUGGUAAGGUAACGGCUUACCAAGGCAACGAUACGUAGCCGACCUGAGAGGGUGAUCGGCCACACUGGAACUGAGACACGGUCCAGACUCCUACGGGAGGCAGCAGUAGGGAAUGGUCCGCAAUGGGCGAAAGCCUGACGGAGCAACGCCGCGUGAGUGAUGAAGGUCUUCGGAUCGUAAAACUCUGUUAGCAGGGAAGAACAAAUGUGGAAGGAACUGUGCAGAUAGUGACGGUACCGGAUCAGAAAGCCACGGCUAACUACGUG